UGGGGAAUAUUGCGCAAUGGGGGCAACCCUGACGCAGCAACGCCGCGUGAUUGAAGAAGGCCUUCGGGUUGUAAAGAUCUUUAAUUAGGGACGAAUUUUGACGGUACCUAAAGAAUAAGCUCCGGCUAACUACGUGCCAGCAGCCGCGGUAAUACGUAGGGAGCAAGCGUUAUCCGGAUUUACUGGGUGUAAAGGGCGAGUAGGCGGGCUGGUAAGUUGGAAGUGAAAUCCCGGGGCUUAACCCCGGAACUGCUUUCAAAACUGCUGGUCUUGAGUGAUGGAGAGGCAGGCGGAAUUCCCAGUGUAGCGGUGAAAUGCGUAGAUAUUGGGAGGAACACCAGUGGCGAAGGCGGCCUGCUGGACAUUAACUGACGCUGAGGAGCGAAAGCGUGGGGAGCAAACA
This 403-nucleotide ribosomal RNA is filed under the name uncultured bacterium. RNAcentral describes it as "bacterial SSU rRNA". It matches the Rfam family "Bacterial small subunit ribosomal RNA", at positions 355 to 774 of the family's 1533-position model. The record is from RNAcentral.